GGGUUGUGAGGUUAAGCGACUAAGCGUACACGGUGGAUGCCCUGGCAGUCAGAGGCGAUGAAGGACGUGCUAAUCUGCGAAAAGCGUCGGUAAGGUGAUAUGAACCGUUAUAACCGGCGAUGUCCGAAUGGGGAAACCCAGUGCAAUUCGUUGCACUAUCGUUAACUGAAUACAUAGGUUAACGAGGCGAACCGGGGGAACUGAAACAUCUAAGUACCCCGAGGAAAAGAAAUCAACCGAGAUUCCCCCAGUAGCGGCGAGCGAACGGGGAGCAGCCCAGAGUCUGAAUCAGCUUGUGUGUUAGUGGAACGGUCUGGAAAGUCCGACGGUACAGGGUGAUAGUCCCGUACACCAAAAUGCACAGGCUGUGAACUCGAAGAGUAGGGCGGGACACGUGGUAUCCUGUCUGAAUAUGGGGGGACCAUCCUCCAAGGCUAAAUACUCCUGACUGACCGAUAGUGAACCAGUACCGUGAGGGAAAGGCGAAAAGAACCCCGGCGAGGGGAGUGAAAAAGAACCUGAAACCGUGUACGUACAAGCAGUGGGAGCACCUUCGGGUGUGACUGCGUACCUUUUGUAUAAUGGGUCAGCGACUUAUAUUCUGUAGCAAGGUUAACCGUAUAGGGGAGCCGCAGGGAAACCGAGUCUUAACUGGGCGUUAAGUUGCAGGGUAUAGACCCGAAACCCGGUGAUCUAGCCAUGGGCAGGUUGAAGGUUGGGUAACACUAACUGGAGGACCGAACCGACUAAUGUUGAAAAAUUAGCGGAUGACUUGUGGCUGGGGGUGAAAGGCCAAUCAAACCGGGAGAUAGCUGGUUCUCCCCGAAAGCUAUUUAGGUAGCGCCUCGUGAAUUCAUCUUCGGGGGUAGAGCACUGUUUCGGCUAGGGGGUCAUCCCGACUUACCAACCCGAUGCAAACUACGAAUACCGAAGAAUGUUAUCACGGGAGACACACGGCGGGUGCUAACGUCCGUCGUGAAGAGGGAAACAACCCAGACCGCCAGCUAAGGUCCCAAAGUCAUGGUUAAGUGGGAAACGAUGUGGGAAGGCACAGACAGCCAGGAUGUUGGCUUAGAAGCAGCCAUCAUUUAAAGAAAGCGUAAUAGCUCACUGGUCGAGUCGGCCUGCGCGGAAGAUGUAACGGGGCUAAACCAUGCACCGAAGCUGCGGCAGCGACGCUUAUGCGUUGUUGGGUAGGGGAGCGUUCUGUAAGCCUGCGAAGGUGGCCUGUGAGGGCUGCUGGAGGUAUCAGAAGUGCGAAUGCUGACAUAAGUAACGAUAAAGCGGGUGAAAAGCCCGCUCGCCGGAAGACCAAGGGUUCCUGUCCAACGUUAAUCGGGGCAGGGUGAGUCGACCCCUAAGGCGAGGCCGAAAGGCGUAGUCGAUGGGAAACAGGUUAAUAUUCCUGUACUUGGUGUUACUGCGAAGGGGGGACGGAGAAGGCUAUGUUAGCCGGGCGACGGUUGUCCCGGUUUAAGCAUGUAGGCUGGUUAUCCAGGCAAAUCCGGAUAAUCAAGCGCUGAGGUGUGAUGACGAGGCACUACGGUGCUGAAGUAACAAAUGCCCUGCUUCCAGGAAAAGCCUCUAAGCAUCAGGUAACAUCAAAUCGUACCCCAAACCGACACAGGUGGUCAGGUAGAGAAUACCAAGGCGCUUGAGAGAACUCGGGUGAAGGAACUAGGCAAAAUGGUGCCGUAACUUCGGGAGAAGGCACGCUGGUGUGUAGGUGAAGUCCCUGCGGAUGGAGCUGAGACCAGUCGAAGAUACCAGCUGGCUGCAACUGUUUAUUAAAAACACAGCACUGUGCAAACACGAAAGUGGACGUAUACGGUGUGACGCCUGCCCGGUGCCGGAAGGUUAAUUGAUGGGGUUAUCCGUAAGGAGAAGCUCUUGAUCGAAGCCCCGGUAAACGGCGGCCGUAACUAUAACGGUCCUAAGGUAGCGAAAUUCCUUGUCGGGUAAGUUCCGACCUGCACGAAUGGCGUAAUGAUGGCCAGGCUGUCUCCACCCGAGACUCAGUGAAAUUGAACUCGCUGUGAAGAUGCAGUGUACCCGCGGCAAGACGGAAAGACCCCGUGAACCUUUACUAUAGCUUGACACUGAACAUUGAGCCUUGAUGUGUAGGAUAGGUGGGAGGCUUUGAAGCGUGGACGCCAGUCUGCGUGGAGCCAACCUUGAAAUACCACCCUUUAAUGUUUGAUGUUCUAACGUUGGCCCCUGACCGGGGUUGCGGACAGUGUCUGGUGGGUAGUUUGACUGGGGCGGUCUCCUCCCAAAGCGUAACGGAGGAGCACGAAGGUUAGCUAAUCCUGGUCGGACAUCAGGAGGUUAGUGCAAUGGCAUAAGCUAGCUUGACUGCGAGCGUGACGGCGCGAGCAGGUGCGAAAGCAGGUCAUAGUGAUCCGGUGGUUCUGAAUGGAAGGGCCAUCGCUCAACGGAUAAAAGGUACUCCGGGGAUAACAGGCUGAUACCGCCCAAGAGUUCAUAUCGACGGCGGUGUUUGGCACCUCGAUGUCGGCUCAUCACAUCCUGGGGCUGAAGUAGGUCCCAAGGGUAUGGCUGUUCGCCAUUUAAAGUGGUACGCGAGCUGGGUUUAGAACGUCGUGAGACAGUUCGGUCCCUAUCUGCCGUGGGCGCUGGAGAAUUGAGGGGGGCUGCUCCUAGUACGAGAGGACCGGAGUGGACGCAUCACUGGUGUUCGGGUUGUCAUGCCAAUGGCACUGCCCGGUAGCUAAAUGCGGAAGAGAUAAGUGCUGAAAGCAUCUAAGCACGAAACUUGCCCCGAGAUGAGUUCUCCCUGAGACUUUAAGUCUCCUGAAGGAACGUUAAAGACGAUGACGUUGAUAGGCCGGGUGUGUAAGCGCAGCGAUGCGUUGAGCUAACCGGUACUAAUGAACCGUGAGGCUUAACCUUACAACGCCGAAG
This 2925-nucleotide ribosomal RNA is filed under the name Klebsiella pneumoniae. Its description in RNAcentral is "bacterial LSU rRNA". It matches the Rfam family "Bacterial large subunit ribosomal RNA". Lineage: Bacteria; Pseudomonadati; Pseudomonadota; Gammaproteobacteria; Enterobacterales; Enterobacteriaceae. The record is from RNAcentral.